This 240-nucleotide ribosomal RNA is filed under the name uncultured bacterium. RNAcentral describes it as "partial 16S ribosomal RNA". It matches the Rfam family "Bacterial small subunit ribosomal RNA", at positions 118 to 351 of the family's 1533-position model. The record is from RNAcentral.
UGAGUAACCUGUCCUCGGCACCGGGAUAGCCCGGGGGAAACCCGGAUUAAUACCGGAUGGCCUUUCGAGUUUUCGGGCUCGUCAGAAAAGGUAGCUUCGGCCUCCGGCCGAGGAGGGACUCGCGGCGGAUUAUCUUGUUGGUGGGGUAACGGCUCACCAAGGCGACGAUCCGUAGCUGGUCUGAGAGGACGAUCAGCCACACUGGGACUGAGACACGGCCCAGACUCCUACGGGAGGCAG